UACGUAGGGACCGAGCGUUGUCCGGAAUCAUUGGGCGUAAAGAGCGUGUAGGCGGCUAUUUAAGUCCUGCGUGAAAUCCUGCGGCUCAACCGCAGACGGUCGUGGGAAACUGGAUGGCUAGAGUGCGGGAGAGGAGAGUGGAAUUCCCGGUGUAGCGGUGAAAUGCGCAGAUAUCGGGAAGAACACCCGUGGCGAAGCCGGCUCUCUGGAACGCAACUGACGCUGAGACGCGGAAAGCGUGGGGAGCAAACAGGG
RNAcentral lists this ribosomal RNA (255 nucleotides) under uncultured bacterium. Its description in RNAcentral is "partial 16S ribosomal RNA". It matches the Rfam family "Bacterial small subunit ribosomal RNA", at positions 524 to 777 of the family's 1533-position model. The record is from RNAcentral.